GACGGAGGGUGCUAGCGUUGUUCGGAAUCACUGGGCGUAAAGGGCGCGUAGGCGGCGCUGGCAGUCGGCCGUGAAAGCCCGGGGCUCAACCCCGGAGGUGCGGCCGAGACGCCAGUGCUGGAGGCCGGAAGAGGAGGGUGGAAUACCCAGUGUAGAGGUGAAAUUCGUAGAUAUUGGGUGGAACACCGGUGGCGAAAGCGGCUCUCUGGUCCGGACCUGACGCUGAGGCGCGAAAGCGUGGGGAGCAAACAGG
This 253-nucleotide ribosomal RNA is filed under the name uncultured bacterium. RNAcentral describes it as "partial 16S ribosomal RNA". It matches the Rfam family "Bacterial small subunit ribosomal RNA", at positions 524 to 776 of the family's 1533-position model. The record is from RNAcentral.